RNAcentral lists this ribosomal RNA (492 nucleotides) under uncultured bacterium. RNAcentral describes it as "partial 16S ribosomal RNA". It matches the Rfam family "Bacterial small subunit ribosomal RNA", at positions 30 to 507 of the family's 1533-position model. The record is from RNAcentral.
AUUGAACGCUGGCGGCAUGCUUUACACAUGCAAGUCGAACGGUAACAGGCCUUCUGGUGCUGACGAGUGGCGCACGGGUGAGUAAUGCAUCUGAACGUCCCCCGAGUUGGGGGAUAACGCAGCGAAAGCUGUGCUAAUACCGCAUGUGAUCUGAGGAUGAAAGCGGGGGACCGCGCAGCAAUGUUUGGCCUCGCGCCUUUGGAGCUGCCGAUGUCGGAUUAGCUAGUUGGUGGGGUAAAGGCCUACCAAGGCGACGAUCCGUAGCUGGUCUGAGAGGACGACCAGCCACACUGGGACUGAGACACGGCCCAGACUCCUACGGGAGGCAGCAGUGGGGAAUUUUGGACAAUGGGCGAAAGCCUGAUCCAGCAAUGCCGCGUGCGGGAAGAAGGCCUUCGGGUUGUAAACCGCUUUUGGCAGGAACGAAACGGUGUCCGCUAAUACCGGGCGCUAAUGACGGUACCUGCAGAAUAAGCACCGGCUAACUACGUG